RNAcentral lists this ribosomal RNA (444 nucleotides) under uncultured bacterium. RNAcentral describes it as "bacterial SSU rRNA". It matches the Rfam family "Bacterial small subunit ribosomal RNA", at positions 30 to 507 of the family's 1533-position model. The record is from RNAcentral.
AUUGAACGCUGGCGGCAUGCUUUACACAUGCAAGUCGAACGGUAACAGGCCGCAAGGUGCUGACGAGUGGCGAACGGGUGAGUAAUGCAUCGGAACGUGCCCAGUCGUGGGGGAUAACGCAGCGAAAGCUGCGCUAAUACCGCAUACGUCCUACGGGAGAAAGAUUUAUCGCCUUUAGAGCGGCCCGCGUCUGAUUAGCUAGUUGGUGGUGUAAUGGACCACCAAGGCGACGAUCAGUAGCUGGUCUGAGAGGAUGACCAGCCACAUUGGGACUGAGACACGGCCCAAACUCCUACGGGAGGCAGCAGUGGGGAAUCUUGCGCAAUGGGCGAAAGCCUGACGCAGCCAUGCCGCGUGUAUGAUGAAGGUCUUAGGAUUGUAAAAAUACUUUCACCGGUGAAGAUAAUGACUGUAGCCGGAGAAGAAGCCCCGGCUAACUUCGUG